RNAcentral lists this ribosomal RNA (512 nucleotides) under Holothuria mexicana. Its description in RNAcentral is "LSU rRNA". It matches the Rfam family "Bacterial large subunit ribosomal RNA", at positions 1817 to 2600 of the family's 2925-position model. Lineage: Eukaryota; Metazoa; Echinodermata; Holothuroidea; Aspidochirotida; Holothuriidae. The record is from RNAcentral.
AGCCCCUUGAAUAUUUAAAGGGUCCCGCCUGCCCAGUGGCCUAAGGCUAAACGGCCGCGGUAUCUUGACCGUGCAAAGGUAGCAUAAUCACUUGUCUUUUAAAUGGAGACUCGUAUGAACGGCGAAACCUUUUUCGACUGUCUCCCCUCCCACCCUUCUAAAUUUCUUUCUGUGUGAAGAAGCACAGAUACUUCAGAAAGACGAGAAGACCCUGUCGAGCUUUAGCCACUAAGCGAACCCAAACCUUUCCCAAGUAUCGCCUAAAGGCUUUGGUUGGGGCAACCAUGGAGAAGAAAUACCCUCCAGAACAAGUAGAAGAAACCUUUUCACUACUAACUUCGCCUAAAGAACCAGAAACUGGUAUUCGGAAAAAGUUACCGCAGGGAUAACAGCGUCAUCUCCUCCAAGAGUCCUUAUUGACGAGGGGGUUUGCGACCUCGAUGUUGGAUUGGGGCCUCCCUGGGGUGCAGAAGCUCCAAACGGUUAGACUGUUCGUCUAUUAAAGCCCUACG